This 253-nucleotide ribosomal RNA is filed under the name uncultured bacterium. Its description in RNAcentral is "partial 16S ribosomal RNA". It matches the Rfam family "Bacterial small subunit ribosomal RNA", at positions 524 to 776 of the family's 1533-position model. The record is from RNAcentral.
UACGGAGGGGGCAAGUGUUGUUCGGAAUUACUGGGCGUAAAGGGCGCGCAGGCGGCUUGGCAAGUCGAGUGUGAAAUACCUCAGCUUAACUGAGGAACGGCGCUCGAAACUACCUCGCUUGAGGGCGGGAGAGGGAAGUGGAACUCUCGGUGUAGGGGUGAAAUCUGUAGAUAUCGAGAGGAACACCGGUGGCGAAGGCGGCUUCCUGGCCAGUACCUGACGCUGAGGCGCGAAAGCGUGGGGAGCAAACAGG